Molecule: small RNA, 29 nt
Filed under: Bombyx mori (domestic silkworm)
Lineage: Eukaryota; Metazoa; Arthropoda; Insecta; Lepidoptera; Bombycidae
Description: ovarian small RNA-5554
Source: RNAcentral
UAAACGGAUGCGAUGACGAUCGGCUGGUA